AGGAGGGCUACGUUUUUCACUCCAAUGGCAUUGGAAAUAUUAAUGCGCUCAUACGGUGAGUUUGAGCACGUUUUUAGAAGGAAGUGUAACACCGCUGCAGCAGCAAAAGCGAGGGAGGCGGCGUGGGAGAACAUUGGUGCUCAGGUCAAUGCGCGCAAUCCUGCGGGGGAGAAGCGCACUUGGCAGCAGCUUAAGAUGAAACAUAAAAACAUUGUUCAAACAGCCAACAGAGAGAAAGCAAAUGCACCGCCCAGCACCGCCACCUCUAACGGAGACAGAGGAGCUGGCCCUAAGCCAGAAUUUAGGAAGGCUGAGGGAAUACCUGGAGGGAGCUCAUCCUCUGAGCUCACACCCCAAGACACAAGUGCUUUUAUAAAAUGUAACACGCCUGGACCUAUAUUUUUUUUUAAGCCUAUUCAUAAAAAUAUUUAUUUCCCUUUCA
This is a long non-coding RNA of Acanthopagrus latus (yellowfin seabream), 442 nucleotides long. RefSeq lists it as uncharacterized. The record is from RefSeq and is a predicted model, not a curated record. The transcript is spliced from 3 exons. Lineage: Eukaryota; Metazoa; Chordata; Actinopteri; Spariformes; Sparidae.